Molecule: ribosomal RNA, 491 nt
Filed under: uncultured bacterium
Lineage: Bacteria
Description: partial 16S ribosomal RNA
Rfam family: Bacterial small subunit ribosomal RNA
Source: RNAcentral
GUGAACGCUUGCGGUAGGCCUAACCCCUGCCAGUCGAACGGCAGCACAGUAAGAGCUUGCUCUUACGGGUGGCGAGUGGCGGACGGGUGAGGGAUACAUCGGAAUCUACUUUUUCGUGGGGGAUAACGUAGGGAAACUUACGCUAAUACCACAUGCGACCUACGGGUGAAAGCAGGGGAUCUUCGGACCUUGCGCGAUUGAAUGAGCCGAUGUCGGAUGAGCUAGUUGGCGGGGUAAAGGCCCACCAAGUCGACGAUCCGUAGCUGGUCUGAGAGGAUGAUCAGCCACACUGGAGCUGAGACACGGUCCAGACUCCUACGGGAGGCAGCAGUGGGGAAUAUUGGACAAUGGGCGCAAGCCUGAUACAGCCAUACCGCGUGGGUGAAGAAGGCCUUCGGGUUGUAAAGCCCUUUUGUUGGGAAAGAAAAGCAGCAGCUUAAUACCCCGCUGUUCUGACGGUACCCAAAGAAUAAGCACCGGCUAACUUCGUG